Molecule: ribosomal RNA, 505 nt
Filed under: Pseudomonas sp. NRS305
Lineage: Bacteria; Pseudomonadati; Pseudomonadota; Gammaproteobacteria; Pseudomonadales; Pseudomonadaceae
Description: partial 16S ribosomal RNA
Rfam family: Bacterial small subunit ribosomal RNA
Source: RNAcentral
ACUUUCCAGAGAUGGAUUGGUCCUUCGGGACACAUUNAAACANNUNCUNCAUANCUNUCNUCANCUCCUCUCCUGAGAUCUUGGGUUAACUCCCGUAACGAGCGCAACCCUUGUCCUUANUUACCAGCACGUAAUGGUGGGCACUCUAAGGAGACUGCCGGUGACAAACCGGAGGAAGGUGGGGAUGACGUCAAGUCAUCAUGGCCCUUACGGCCUGCSCUACACACGUGCCUACAAUGGUCGGUCACAGAGGGUUGCCAAGCCGCGAGGUGGAGCUAAUCCCAYAAAACCGAUCGUAGUCCGGAUCGCAGUCUGCAACUCGACUGCGUGAAGUCGSAAUCGCUAGUAAUCGCGAAUCAGAAUGUCGCGGUGAAUACGUUCCCGGGCCUUGUACACACCGCCCGUCACACCAUGGGAGUGGGUUGCACCAGAAGUASCUAGUCUAACUUCGGGAGGACGGUUACCACSGUGUGAUUCAUSACUGGGGUGAAGUCGUAACAAGGUA